AGGGUUUGAUCCUGGCUCAGAACGAUCGCUGGCGGCGUGGUUUAGGCAUGCAAGUCGAGCGAGAAAGUGGUCUUCGGACCGCGAGUAAAGCGGCGAAAGGGUGAGUAAUGCAUAGAUAACCUGCCUUAUGCUCGGGGACAACGGUUGGAAACGACCGCUAAUACCCGAUAAUGCCGCGGUUCGCAUGGACCGUGGCCAAAGUUGGGGCUCCUUCGGGAACCUUUCGGCAUAAGAGGGGUCUGUGUCCUAUCAGCUUGUUGGUGAGGUAACGGCUCACCAAGGCUACGACGGGUAGGAGGCCUGAGAGGGUGUUCUCCCACACUGGGACUGAGACACUGCCCAGACUCCUACGGGAGGCUGCAGUCGAGAAUCAUUCGCAAUGGGCGAAAGCCUGACGAUGCGACGCCGCGUGGAGGAGGAAGGCCCUCGGGUUGUAAACUCCUGUCAGAGAUUAGGAAAUGCGUAUGGGUUAAUACCCCAUAUGUUUGACAAAGGUCUCAGAGGAAGGUCCGGCUAAAUCCGUGCCAGCAGCCGCGGUAAUACGGAUGGAUCAAGCGUUGUUCGGAAUCACUGGGCAUAAAGCGCAUGUAGGCGGCUUCGCAAGUCAGGUGUGAAAGCCCACGGCUCAACCGUGGAAUUGCACUUGAUACUGCGGGGCUUGAGUAAAGAAGGGGAGUGUGGAACUGCUGGUGGAGCGGUAAAAUGCGUAGAUAUCAGCAGGAACGCCGGUGGAGAAGUCGACACUCUGGUCUUUUACUGACGCUGAGAUGCGAAAGCUAGGGGAGCGAACGGGAUUAGAUACCCCGGUAGUCCUAGCCGUAAACGAUGGGCACUAGGUAGAGGGAGCUCCGACGCCUUCUCUGCCGAAGCUAAUGUGAUAAGUGCCCCGCCUGGGGAGUACGGCCGCAAGGCUAAAACUCAAAGGAAUUGACGGGGGCUCGCACAAGCGGUGGAGUAUGUGGAUUAAUUCGAACCAACGCGUAGAACCUUACCAGGGUUUGACAUGCUUGAAGUAGGCGCCCGAAAGGGUUGCCCACCGGUAUCCAAUCCGGAACUUGCACAGGUGUUGCAUGGCUGUCGUCAGCUCGUGUCGUGAGAUGUUGGGUUAAGUCCCCUAACGAGCGAAACCCUUAUCCCUAGUUGCCAGCGGUUCGGCCGGGCACUCUGUGGAGACUGCCGGUGUUAAACCGGAGGAAGGCGGGGACGACGUCAAGUCAUCAUGGCCCUUAUGCCCUGGGCGUCACACGUACUACAAUGGCAGGUACAGAGGGUCGCGAAGCCGCGAGGUGGAGCCAAUCCCAGAAAGCCUGUCUCAGUCCGGAUCGCAGGCUGCAACCCGCCUGCGUCAAGUCGGAAUCGCUAGUAAUCGCGGUUCAGCCAUGCCGCGGUGAAUGUGUACCCGAGCCUUGUACACACCGCCCGUCAAGCCACGGGAGCCGGGAGCGCCUGAAGUCGGUCGCCUAACCCCUCGGGGAGGGAGCCGCCGACGGCGAGCAUGGUAACUGGGAC
RNAcentral lists this ribosomal RNA (1509 nucleotides) under metagenome. Its description in RNAcentral is "bacterial SSU rRNA". It matches the Rfam family "Bacterial small subunit ribosomal RNA". The record is from RNAcentral.